AGAUUAGAACCUGUGGCUCUGAAUGUAUCAUGGGACAAACAGCUACAAGGUGCUUCUCUGAUUUAAUUGUUUGGAAGCGGUCACUGGAAGCAAAUCUAUGUGACUCAGCUUUGGUAGUGCAGCCCAGCUGGGGUCUGACAGGCCAUUUUUCAGUCUCCUGGUAAUGAAG
Molecule: long non-coding RNA, 169 nt
Organism: Choloepus didactylus (southern two-toed sloth)
Lineage: Eukaryota; Metazoa; Chordata; Mammalia; Pilosa; Megalonychidae
Exons: 3
Source: RefSeq, a predicted model, not a curated record